Molecule: long non-coding RNA, 128 nt
Organism: Syngnathus acus (greater pipefish)
Lineage: Eukaryota; Metazoa; Chordata; Actinopteri; Syngnathiformes; Syngnathidae
Exons: 3
Source: RefSeq, a predicted model, not a curated record
ACUUAAAAAUCAUCAUUUCAGAUGGGCUGAUGCCAGAAGUCAUAGAAGUGACCUCUUGUACCUUCACAUCUCGUGGCCCAAGUAAUGAAAAGUCUGCCAAAAAGUGAGGUGACGGACAAGUUUUGAAU